AGCAAAAUUAUGUAUGUUUUUGUUUUUGUUCUUUGCUUGUUUGUAUAUUUUUUGUACAUGUAAUUAUUAAAAAACAUGGCAUCAUAUAGAAUGUUCAUACAUCCAUUUCAAACAGAAUAGCAAUAAAAGCCUCAGAAAAACACAGAAAAGGUAGAAUGACACUAAGGUACAGUUUCAUACCUUAAGCCACUCUGGCAUACUGAAACAAGUUUGAGACAAAUGUAGAAAAAUGUAAGAAGGCAAAUUUGGGAUAUAUCCAGAAUAUAUGUGCACAUAGGUCCAGUCAGAUACAUGCAUGUCAGUAUAGAAUUGUAAGACAAUUGUAAGAUAUACAUAUUCAAAAGUAUAUUAUUGUUUCCAUUUGUGUAAAAGAGCAUAGUAAGGUGUUUAAGGAAAAAA
This is a long non-coding RNA of Oxyura jamaicensis (ruddy duck), 399 nucleotides long. RefSeq lists it as uncharacterized. The transcript is spliced from 2 exons. NCBI's taxonomy places the organism in Eukaryota, Metazoa, Chordata, Aves, Anseriformes, Anatidae. The record is from RefSeq and is a predicted model, not a curated record.